Molecule: ribosomal RNA, 251 nt
Filed under: uncultured bacterium
Lineage: Bacteria
Description: partial 16S ribosomal RNA
Rfam family: Bacterial small subunit ribosomal RNA
Source: RNAcentral
GCAAGUCGAGGGGCAGCAUUACUGCUUGCAGUAGAUGGCGACCGGCGCACGGGUGCGUAACGCGUAUACAACUUACCCUUUACAGGGGGAUAGCCCGAGGAAACUCGGAUUAAUACCCCAUAACAUUAUGAUAUCGCAUGGUAUUAUAAUUAAAACUUCGGUGGUAAAGGAUGGGUAUGCGUAAGAUUAGAUAGUUGGUGAGGUAACGGCUCACCAAGUCUACGAUCUUUAGGGGCCCUGAGAGGGGGAUC